This 688-nucleotide ribosomal RNA is filed under the name Lacticaseibacillus casei. RNAcentral's name for it is "bacterial SSU rRNA". It matches the Rfam family "Bacterial small subunit ribosomal RNA", at positions 657 to 1340 of the family's 1533-position model. Lineage: Bacteria; Bacillati; Bacillota; Bacilli; Lactobacillales; Lactobacillaceae. The record is from RNAcentral.
GACAGUGGAACUUCCAUGUGUAGCGGGUGAUAUGCGUAGAUAUAUGGAAGAACACCAGUGGCGAAGGGCGGCUGUCUGGUCUGUAACUGACGCUGAGGGCUCGAAAAGCAUGGGUAGCGAACAGGAUUAGAUACCCUGGUAGUCCAUGCCGUAAACGAUGAAUGCUAGGUGUUGGAGGGUUUUCCGCCCUUCAGUGCCGCAAAAAACGCAUUAAGCAUUCCGCCUGGGGAGUACGACCGCAAGGUUGAAACUCAAAGAAAAUGACGGGGGCCCGCACAAGCGGUGGAGCAUGUGGUUUAAUUCGAAGCAACGCGAAGAACCUUACCAGGUCUUGACAUCUUUUGAUCACCUGAGAGAUCAGGUUUCCCCUUCGGGGGCAAAAUGACAGGUGGUGCAUGGUUGUCGUCAGCUCGUGUCGUGAGAUGUUGGGUUAAGUCCCGCAACGAGCGCAACCCUUAUGACUAGUUGCCAGCAUUUAGUUGGGCACUCUAGUAAGACUGCCGGUGAAAAACCGGAGGAAGGUGGGGAUGACGUCAAAUCAUCAUGCCCCUUAUGACCUGGGCUACACACGUGCUACAAUGGAUGGUACAACGAGUUGCGAGACCGCGAGGUCAAGCUAAUCUCUUAAAGCCAUUCUCAGUUCGGACUGUAGGCUGCAACUCGCCUACACGAAGUCGAAUCGCUAGAU